CCAGGAGUAAGAUCCUGUGCUUUUCUUUUCUCUUCAAAGGAUUUGGAAUAAGAGGUGGGUAAGGACGGUGCCAGCCGCCGCGGUAAUACCGGCGCCUCGAGUGGUAGUCGAUUUUAUUGGGCCUAAAACGUCCGUCGCCGGUCUGGUGCAUUCGUGGGUUAAUCAACCCGCUCAACGGGUUGAAUUCUGCGAGCACGGCCAGACUAGGGACCGGGAGAGGCGUGGGGUACGCUCGGGGUAGGGGUAAAAUCCUGUCAUCCCGAGCGGACCACCUGUUGCGAAGGCGCCACACUAGAACGGAUCCGACGGUCAGGGACGAAGCCUAGGGGCACGAACCGGAUUAGAUACCCGGGUAGUCCUAGGUGUAAACGCUGUGGACUUGGUGUUGGGAGCCUCCAGAGGGCUCUCAGUGCCGUAGCGAAGGUGAUAAGUCCACUGCCUGGGGAGUACGGUCGCAAGGCUGAAACUUAAAGGAAUUGGCGGGGGAGCACUGCAACCUGAGGAUUGUGCGGUUUAAUUGGAGUCAACGCC
Molecule: ribosomal RNA, 531 nt
Filed under: uncultured archaeon
Lineage: Archaea
Description: bacterial SSU rRNA
Rfam family: Archaeal small subunit ribosomal RNA
Source: RNAcentral